GCCUUAGCUCAGUUGGUAGAGCGCUGCCUUUGCAAGGCAGAAGUCAGGGGUUCGAGUCUUAUCUGGCG
Non-coding RNA from Mycobacterium xenopi 3993, 68 nucleotides. Lineage: Bacteria; Bacillati; Actinomycetota; Actinomycetes; Mycobacteriales; Mycobacteriaceae. The record is from Rfam.